UACGGAGGGGGCGAGCGUUAUUCGGAAUUAUUGGGCGUAAAGGGCGCGUAGGCGGCUUCAUAAGUCAAAGGUGAAAUCCCUCGGCUCAACUGAGGAACUGCCUUUGAAACUGUGGAGCUUGAGGCCGGGAGGGGGUAGCGGAAUUCCCAGUGUAGCGGUGAAAUGCGUAGAUAUUGGGAGGAACACCAGUGGCGAAGGCGGCUACCUGGACCGGAACUGACGCUGAUGCGCGAAAGCGUGGGGAGCAAACAGG
Molecule: ribosomal RNA, 253 nt
Filed under: uncultured bacterium
Lineage: Bacteria
Description: partial 16S ribosomal RNA
Rfam family: Bacterial small subunit ribosomal RNA
Source: RNAcentral